Esox lucius (northern pike) is the source of this 130-nucleotide small nucleolar RNA. RefSeq annotates it as small nucleolar RNA SNORA13. The record is from RefSeq and is a predicted model, not a curated record. The transcript has a single exon. Lineage: Eukaryota; Metazoa; Chordata; Actinopteri; Esociformes; Esocidae.
UGCCUUUGUAUUGCCUGUUCAUUGUCUCAAAAAUGAAUGGGUUACUGAAGGAGGCAUACAGCAAUUCUUGAGGUUGUCUUUGAUUGGUGCCUACUGAAUCCUUUCUUUGUGCUCAACUGCAAGAACAUUG